AGCGAACGCUGGCGGCAGGCUUAACACAUGCAAGUCGAGCGCCCCGCAAGGGGCGCGGCAGACGGGUGAGUAACACGUUGGACCGUGCCUUUUGGUUCGGAACAACCCACGGAAACUUGGGCUAAUACCGGAUAAGCCCUUACGGCGAAAGAUUUAUCGUCAAACCAUCGGCCCGCGUCUGCUUACCUAGUUGGUGCGCUAAUGGCCCACCAAGGCUACGAUCAGUAGCUGGUCUGAGAGGAUGAUCAGCCACAUUGGAACUGAAACACGGCCCAAACUCCAACGGGAGGCAGCAGUGGGGAAUAUUGGAAAAUGUGGGCAACCCUGAUCCAGCCAUGCCGCGUGAGUGAUGAAGGCCUUAGGGUUGUAAAGCUCUUUUAGCAGGGAAGAUAAUGACGGUACCUGCAGAAAAAGCCCCGGCUAACUUCGUGCCAGCCGCCGCAGUAA
RNAcentral lists this ribosomal RNA (447 nucleotides) under uncultured bacterium. RNAcentral's name for it is "partial 16S ribosomal RNA". It matches the Rfam family "Bacterial small subunit ribosomal RNA", at positions 29 to 523 of the family's 1533-position model. The record is from RNAcentral.